CCGUCCCCAGGCGCUGAUGCUGCUCUCUGCCCUCCCAUCCUCGCACUGACAGUGUUUAUUUUAUUGAUGUCCCUGCUCCGGUGGCCCGAGGCAGCACGAGGCAGCCGCGACGAAGCCAUCAACGGGACUAGCGGGGACCUAGCCUUGUUUUACGACCAUCGAAGCGGCCAUAAUUGUGCAUUCACAUUCACAUUCACCAUUCAGAGGACCAUUCAGAGGCACAGCCAAAGCCCCACUGUCGGAUGGUCUCCCCCUCUCCUCCUCAGUCCCCAUUGGGGGCUGCUUGCAGCUACGUAAUUUGCAAGUGAUUUAUGGGACUUUAUGCAUCAAGGCGGCGGAGGGGGCGGAGUGGGUGGAGGGGGCGGAGGAGCAGGGCCUGCCACUCUGUCGAGUACGAUUUCCAUUUGGCGCUCGCUCUUCCGAACACUUGAUUAGCGUCGAUGAUUGAACGGUUAUUGGUAAAUUGAAAGUUGUGUUCCUUGAUCCCGGGCCGAUUUCGAGGGAAUCGAGGGCAUCGAGGGUGUGCCGAUUGCACAUUUCGGGACGGGAGCACAGCUGUUUUUAAGAGAUUUUCGUGCGGAAUAGAAUGGUAUUUUUCUGUAUUUUGGAUCCAGUGCGCAAGGGCGCCAGCGCCAAGCUGGUAUUUUACAACACUGCCUGAACAGCUGUAAAGAAAAACCCAAGUCUUUCUGUUUUGCCAUCAAUUUUGUUUCCAGCUGGAAAUGGGGUCCAUGACUAGCACGCGCUGGCCUCUGGUCAGUGUUUACCUCUGGGCUUGAUAUCAGUUUGAUUUAUUAGCCACUGCCAGGCACAGACGAGACCGCCGCCAGCGCCAAAGAAUAAUUUGUAACCCACAUAUGCAAUCUUGUGCAAUUUCCGCACUCCAAAGGAACAACGAAGCCACCGACACGGACACGGACACGGACAACCGACCCGUAUCCCUCCUCCCGCCAGCUGUCAGCGCGAACAGUUGCAAACAGACAUGAAGAUUAUGGUCAUUCCCCGCUCGGGUCAUAGCUCGAAACAACUUGAUGUCUCAAAAAGUCCUUAAGCCUGUCAACUGGAGGCGCGAUUUCCAGCGAUUGCCAGUCCUGUUCUUGUAUUUGAUUCUGGCGACUGUUGUUGUGGGCGACGCGUCUAGGCUGUUUGGAAAAUCGCAAAUUUAUGUUAAUUUUAUCGUAAAUGAUGAGCACAGAGAGGAAAUUAAAUGAAAUAAAAUGUGAAGCUUCUCAGGGAAAAUACUCAAAAUUAUUUUAGGAUAUUUCUGUGCUCCCUGGGGCUUCUUUUUAUCCACCGAGAAGAGUCCAAGUACAUGCUUGGCUUUUAAAUAAAUCAAACGCAAUGCACAGGAGGUUAGCUCUACGACCACGUAAAAUCUUUUGGCAAAUCACAAAAAAUCCAAAGAGCUGCCAUUCAAAUCCACUUAACAAAAGGACCUGCCACUGACCCACAGGACCCACAGAACAGAAGGCAGACACAGGGCCAGGGCACAAGGCGGCAGGAACAUGCUGAGUUUCAUCUCAUUCGAUUCCACAUUUCAUUUGAUAAACGCAGGAUUUGAUAGAUGUUCCCGGCGGGCGAAUGUGACGCAUCUUCCAUUUUCCUAUUUUCUUUUUAUACCCUUUUUAUGCGCCCGGAAAAGUUUGCUUGUCCGCCUGGUGUCGGUUUGU
This is a long non-coding RNA of Drosophila pseudoobscura, 1670 nucleotides long. RefSeq lists it as uncharacterized. The record is from RefSeq and is a predicted model, not a curated record. Lineage: Eukaryota; Metazoa; Arthropoda; Insecta; Diptera; Drosophilidae. The transcript has 4 exons.